Long non-coding RNA from Mugil cephalus (flathead mullet), 571 nucleotides. RefSeq lists it as uncharacterized. NCBI's taxonomy places the organism in Eukaryota, Metazoa, Chordata, Actinopteri, Mugiliformes, Mugilidae. The record is from RefSeq and is a predicted model, not a curated record. The transcript is spliced from 3 exons.
GCGAGUUCGGCCGGAACCGGAAGAGGGGUCACGGAGAAGCGCGAGGAAAAGACGGAGAGGAGAGUGAGUGACAGCAUGGCCGCGGAAACAUUACAGCAAAGAAAAGACUUUGAGGAGUUAAAACACGCUGGUUGAGGAACAUAUGUCGAGACAAACGGACAUUGAGUCUCAGAGUGACUGUUCAGUGAACGCAGCACCGUGUUUGAGUUUACAUGAAGAGAAAAAGAGUGAAAAGAGAGAAGUGCAGCUAGAAGCUAAUGUAGCUCACGUGAGUUUACCUGGCGGCCUUCACGACGAGCAGCUCGCGGAGGUGAAGCCUGUUAGUCUGCUGUGUAACCGGUCUGCAUGAGAGGAUCUGCGGUGAGUGUUUACCACGGACGCUACCGGGAGAACGGACGGGAGGAACCGUCUAAGGCCCAGGCUGCAUUAACACGCUGUGCCGCAGAAAGGUCAAGGACGAGGACGCCAUUACUGCCCUAGGACUCAUCUAUCUGCUGAAGCUUGAGGAGGAAACGAUCUGUGGAGGGGAAAUGAAACUGAAGUUGAUCUAGUGGCUCUUCCUUUUUUUUUC